CCUACGGGAGGCAGCAGUAGGGAAUCUUUCACAAUGAGCGAAAGCCUGAUGGAGCAACGCCGCGUGCAGGAUGAAGGCCUUCGGGUUGUAAACUGCUUUUAUAAGCGAGAAAUAUGAUGGUAACUUAUGAAUAAGGAUCGGCUACAAACGUGCCAGCAGCCGCGGUCAUACGAAGGAGCCGAGAAGUGUCCGGAGUGACUGGGUGUAAAGAGGUGCGUAGGUGGUAUAAUAAGUAGCUAGUGAAAUCUUGUGGCUCAACAAUUCAGACUAUUAGCGAAACUGUUAAGCUCGAGACAGUUAGGGGUAACUGGAAUUUCUAGUGAAGGAGUGAAAUGCGUAGAUAUUAGGAAGAACACCAAUGGCGUAGGCAGGUUACUGGGUCUAUACUGACACUGAGGCACGAAAGCGUAGGGAGCAAACAGGAUUAGAUACCCGUGUAGUC
RNAcentral lists this ribosomal RNA (442 nucleotides) under uncultured bacterium. RNAcentral's name for it is "partial 16S ribosomal RNA". It matches the Rfam family "Bacterial small subunit ribosomal RNA", at positions 338 to 795 of the family's 1533-position model. The record is from RNAcentral.